This 468-nucleotide ribosomal RNA is filed under the name uncultured bacterium. Its description in RNAcentral is "partial 16S ribosomal RNA". It matches the Rfam family "Bacterial small subunit ribosomal RNA", at positions 28 to 507 of the family's 1533-position model. The record is from RNAcentral.
GACGAACGCUGGCGGCGUGCUUAACACAUGCAAGUCGAACGGAAAGGCCCUGCUUUUGUGGGGUGCUCGAGUGGCGAACGGGUGAGUAACACGUGAGUAACCUGCCCUUGACUUUGGGAUAACUUCAGGAAACUGGGGCUAAUACCGGAUAGGAGCUCCUGCUACAUGGUGGGGGUUGGAAAGUUUCGGCGGUUGGGGAUGGACUCGCGGCUUAUCAGCUUGUUGGUGGGGUAGUGGCUUACCAAGGCUUUGACGGGUAGCCGGCCUGCGAGGGUGACCGGCCACGUGGGGACUGAGAUACGGCCCAGACUCCUACGGGAGGCAGCAGUGGGGAAUAUUGCACAAUGGGCGGAAGCCUGAUGCAGCAACGCCGCGUGCGGGAUGACGGCCUUCGGGUUGUAAACCGCUUUCGCCUGUGACGAAGCGUGAGUGACGGUAAUGGGUAAAGAAGCACCGGCUAACUACGUG